Molecule: ribosomal RNA, 301 nt
Filed under: uncultured bacterium
Lineage: Bacteria
Description: partial 16S ribosomal RNA
Rfam family: Bacterial small subunit ribosomal RNA
Source: RNAcentral
CAGUAGCCACGGUAAUACGAAGGGUGCAAGCGUUAAUCGGAAUUACUGGGCGUAAAGGGCGCGUAGGCGGCGCGGUAAGUCACUUGUGAAAUCUCUGAGCUUAACUCAGAACGGCCAAGUGAUACUGCUGUGCUAGAGUGCGGAAGAGGCAACCGGAAUUCUUGGUGUAGCGGUGAAAUGCGUAGAUAUCAAGAGGAACACCUGAGGCGAAGGCGGGUUGCUGGGCCGACACUGACGCUGAUGCGCGAAAGCCAGGGGAGCAAACGGGAUUAGAUACCCCUGUAGUCCCUGUCUCUUAUAC